This 2084-nucleotide long non-coding RNA is filed under the name Pogona vitticeps (central bearded dragon). Its description in RNAcentral is "lncRNA (ENSPVIG00000009941.1)". The record is from RNAcentral. Lineage: Eukaryota; Metazoa; Chordata; Lepidosauria; Squamata; Agamidae.
AUGUAAACAUUUUGGGGCCUCCAGUGUUGUGGGAGAGGAAGAAUUGAACAGAAUAAGGGUGACAAGUAGGGCUCCGGGUGAAAAAAUGCAGAAUAAUACUGGCACAGAAGCAUCUCUUGCCUCCCAGUCUUGCUGUUGACAAAAAACAUUGCUGUUGACAAAAAAACAUUGAGAGAGAGAGAGAGAGGCACAAAAUCAUCAGCAUCCCAUAUCAAAGGAACAAUGAGGUGUCAAGGAUAAUCUGAAGAUGGAGCUUCUCCAGGGAGCGAGAAAGAGGGCUUUAAGUGCUAGAACAAGAGUUCUCCAGUACAAUAAUGAUGGGAGUUGAGUGGCUGUGCCAGGAACAGACCAAGGCGAUUCUAGUUCUCCAGAACCUGUUCAGCCAUAAAUAACAGAGCAUGUUAAAGUGGCAGCUUUUAUACUAAUUGCCAAGUCUCACAGUUACUGGCGCUGGGCGAGCAGCUCCCAUUUUACCCCACUGCUUCUGUCAAUUAAGUCUCUUCCUUCCUCAUUCCUCUACUUGAGGCCAAAAUACUUGAAUCUUUCCAGCAGAUGGCGUCCUCUUUCUAUCUUUAACGCAUUCUCCAUUCUGGCAGAGAAGAUACUUACUUAACAGCCUGGGAGACAGCAAGAGCCUUUGUCCAUGUACAGUAGUUGAAAUGUGAUGGAUGCCAACCUGACCGUGGUGGGUUUGUGACUCAUAGUUCUUCUGGGGAAAUGCCUUUGCAGGGAGACUCUUUCUGUCCAGUUUACCAAGGAAGGAAAGGUUGCAGCAAGGACUCUGCAGCGUUGGCUGCCAGCCGUCUGGGCCAGCAUGGAGAAUGGAGUGGUGCUGCAGAGCAAAGAGCCACUAGGACAACGUUCAGGAGAACUGGAUGGACUUGCACUGUCACUGGAAACAGGAACAAUGGCCAGUUCAGAAGGAGACUCAGAAAGGAUGGUGGAUGAGAGAAGGACGACCUCUGAAACAACAAACAAGCCUUGCAUUGUGAGUCCCCGAGAGCAAGCCAGGAGGGACAGCCAUGGGAGCAGGGAACUUGCUGUACACUUUGAAGACAGUGGUGAGAGCGAUGAAGGUUGGUGAGUGAGUCUUUGCUGUUGCUUUCCUUGUUUGCGCUCUUUCCCUUUGUGUGUUUCUGUCUCUUCUGUGCCGUUCUCUUUCUUUCCUUCUUCUGUUCUAAUGUUGUUUACAUCUUUCAGAUUCUCUGCUACACAUUUCCACCCCCCUCAUUUUUCUUUCUCCAGUUUAAUUCUUUCUCAUCUGCUCUCCCCCUUAAUUUUCUUUUUCUUUCCCCACUUUAAACCGUCCCCACCUUCAAAGAAUCAGCACUUCUUCUUUCACCCUCAAGAAGGAAGAUUCCCUCUACUGGUGACAGUUUGUGACUAGUGUGAGGGUCACCUUCCCUAACAUUUAGGGGUGAGGUUCCCUUGUCCAUAAGCCUCCCUAUGGAGCCAGAGGUUGACAGCUUGAUUCCCCGCUGUGCCUCCUGCAAUCAAGCCAGUCUGUGUGGCCUUGAGCAAACUGCACAGUCCCAGGGCACCCCCCCCCAAAGAAGGGAAUGGUAAACCACUUCUGAAUAUUCUUUACCUAGAAAACCCUGGAAAAGGUUGCCAUAAGUCAGAAUUGACUUGACGAUGCACCAAUUAUUAUUAUUUAAGCUGGCUCUAGUUUAUGCUUUGUUACCAUACUAAGGUUUCAUCUUUGUUUCUCUAGAUAUGGAUCCCUCUGAAGAUGGACUCAGCACCUCACUGAUGGAACUUUCUGUGCUGCAAAGACUGGGGCUGCAUAGGUUGGAAGCGUUUGGAUUUCUUGUGAGCUGGUAGAGCAAUAUAAAAUGUGGCAGUAUUCAAGGGAGAUGACAUUCCUUCUCAGGAGUGAGCACAUAGCCAUACUUUGGGUUGAAAUCAAUCCUUAGAGUAAGAUGUAUGUGGAUAUGGGUGUGGAGAGUGAGAGCAAGCGAGCAAGGGAGUAGGUCCAUGUGAAAUUUUACCAAAUUACUGCCAGAGCUGUAACCCCCCAUAACACUGGCACCAAAAUUCACCAAUGGCCCACAGUCUGAGUGAGAAGAGCUCAUCUUACAGUG